AUAUAAUUUUUUUUUUCUCUCUCUAAAGUUUAGUACAAUAUAUGGCACCGCGGACAGUGCCGUCUUUGAUUUUGCACAACUAUUAUAUUCGUAUAGAAUGAGAUGUAAAGAGCUGUGAACUGUCAAAAGUGAUAAGGUAUAGCUAAGAGUGGUCCAGACCAACCUUACGAAAGUAUGAUUUACUGAAGGUAUAGCCUACUAAACUAAGAAUGUUUCGGGAAACACGUAUUAAGGUACAUGUUAAAGUUCAACUUAAUGUAACAGGUAUUUUUGUAAAGGGACUUUUAUUUUGAUGGGUUGCCCCGUUUUCGGGUAUGUUAGCGGGAGGUGAAAAGAUGUCUGGGAAGAAGGAGAAAAAGAGAGCAGUUUUUACGAGAGAAAGACACGCCAUGAUUGCUGUGUGGGAAAUCAGCAGUUUUUCAACGGAAAACGUGAAAGAAGAUAGUAAUAUACAGUUCAUCUGAGUUUUUGUGAGUUAAACGAACAUUAACGCCAUCGUCGUCUGAGACUGGAAACGGAGCUGGUGCAGAAGUUCGGCUGAUUGCGUCAUCGAACAGCGUGAGAGACUGGCUGAGAGCACGAGAGUUAGUUGCUGGAGCCGUGAGUUUCUUCCUGAACGCUGUUGUUUUGCAUCUUUCGAACUGUAUGUAUUUUUGAGAGUUUUUCUGCGUGCCUGAGUCAUUAAUGAGCUGUGCUUUGGACUGAGAGACGUUAAUUUCUUCCUGCUUGUCAGUCAAGUGCACUUGUUAGUGCGUGAGAAGAUGUAAAUGAACUGGAAGUGAGUUUUUUCACAGUGUUUUUUCGUUUUCGCUCUCUCUUACUUUUUGCAUUUUUUUGUAGAGACUGCCCAUUGCCUAAGAUCCGUUUUGCUUUUGGGAAACUUUUAUUAUUAUUUUUUAUUUUUUUUCUUAUUGAGACUGAGUCAGUGCAUGCUGUGGCAGAGCUGCGCCAUUUUGUUCCAGGAAAUUCCGGGUUUUUUUUUGGAAAUUUGCUAGUUUUAUUAUUAUUACCCUGCCAUCCUGACGACAUCUCCUUACUUUCCUGUCCCAGCUGUUCAUUUCUCUAUUACAGGUCAUUGCAAGUAAUUUCUUCAAUUUCAUCAUCGCUAAAGACUGGUACAACGUUCAUUGCACAUAUACAUACAUGAACUCUUACUGAUAUAGACUGAACUGCGAACUUGAACUAGGUAACUGAACUGGGUUUGAUGUGAAAAUUGAAUCAUCUGUCGAAUCGCAAGAGUCAUUUCAGAGUUCAUUUGAAUUAAGUCAAGUUAUUUCAGAGUUUAUUUGAAGUGAAUCAUUUGUGAACUGAUUGUUAUUCCAGAGGUGAACACAAGUUUUAUGGUUAAACAGUUGGUGGUGCACCACGGGUAAAGAUUAUAGUGACAAAUUUAUUUGAGCAACAUUGUUUUAUUUGUUUUUUUACAUUUUUCAUGUAUUGUUCUGAUCUUCUUUUCCUGCUCUGCAAAAGAAAAAAAACAUUUUAAAAGGAGAUAAUUAAAUCUGAUUGAAUGUUAAAGUAAAUCUCAAGAGUACUAUCAUUGUUGAACUUACCUUGGAGUAGGGGCGUCUCACUUGCUCUGUUAGGUACUGGGGUGGUGGGAAUGUGAAUUGGUAUUGUUAAAUUGCCUCACAUAUUUACACUUCAGGCGGCCACCAAAUUAAUACAAGUAUUUGUAGACUUAACUGAAGCCACACUCUCUGGUCCCUUUAGUAUAUUAUACAACAGAGUAAGGUAACACGUAUACAUAACCUAUACCUUGAGACUCAAAGCACUGAGGUGGGGGGACCAAGAUCCUUUCCUCCUAAAGUCUUCC
Cyprinus carpio carpio is the source of this 1816-nucleotide long non-coding RNA. Lineage: Eukaryota; Metazoa; Chordata; Actinopteri; Cypriniformes; Cyprinidae. The record is from Ensembl.